RNAcentral lists this long non-coding RNA (1200 nucleotides) under Junco hyemalis (dark-eyed junco). RNAcentral describes it as "lncRNA (ENSJHYG00000015265.1)". Lineage: Eukaryota; Metazoa; Chordata; Aves; Passeriformes; Passerellidae. The record is from RNAcentral.
AUGCUCCUUCCCAUCCCCAAAAUCCUCCGUUUUUCCAGGUUUUUUUCCCCGGUUUUUCCCAGGUUUUGUAUUCCCGGUUUUUUUGUAUUUUCCCGGUUUUUCCCUCGGAAGGGUCAGCACUGCCCUCAUCCCACAUUUCCCAAUAAAAAUCUUCCCUUUUCCAAGGAAAUCCCAUUUUAUUCCAGGGGUUUGCAUGUGGGGCUGGAACUGUGGGAAUUCCCUCCUUUCCUGGAGUAUUCCCGAGGUUUUCCAGGAAUUCCUGAGGUUUUCCUGGUGUUAAUCCACAUUUUCCUGAGAUUUUUCAGGGAUUCCUGGUGUUAUCCAGAUUUUCCUUUUUCAGGAAUCCCUGGUGCUAAAUCCAGUUUUUCCUGAGGUUUUACAGGAAUUUUUGAGGUUUUUCUGGUGUUAAAUCCAGGUUUUCCUGAGAUUUUCCAGGAAUUCCUGAUGUUAAAUCCUGAUUUUCCAAUAUUCAAUCCCAGUUUUCCCGGUGUUUUCCAGGAAUCCCCCGUGUAAAAUCCAGAUUUUCCUGAGAUUUUCCAAGAAUCCCCGGUGCUAAAUCCCGGUUUUCCAGGAUUUCCCGCUGUUCAAUCCUGGUUUUCUUGAGGUUUUCCAGGAAUUCCUGCAGUUUUCCUGGUGUUAUCCGGAUUUUCCUGAGAUUUUUUUAUCAGGAAUUCCUGGUGUUGAAUCCCGGUUUUCCCGAUGGUUUCCGGGAAUUCCCGGUGUUAAAUCCCGGGUUUUCAGCAAUCCCCACUGUUCAAUCCCGUUUUUCCCGGUGUUUUCAGGAAUCCCCGAUGUUAAAUCCCGGUUUUCCUGGUGUUCGAUCCUGGUUUUCCUGAUGAUUUCCAGCAAUCCCCGGUGCUCAAUCCCGUUUUUCCAGGAUUUCCCGUUGUUCAAUCCCGUUUUUCCCGAUGAUUUCCCGCUGUUCAAUCCCGUUUUUCCCGGUGUUUGCCGCAAUCCCCGCUGUUCAAUCCCGUUUUUCCCGAUGAUUUCCCGCUGUUCAAUCCCGUUUUUUCUGAGUUUUUCCCGAUGAUUUCCCGCUGUUCAAUCCCGUUUUUCCCGGUGUUUGCCGCAAUCCCGGUCCCCUCUCCGUCCCCUCGCUGCCGCCGCCGCUCUCUCCCGGUGGCCCCGUUCCCGUUCCCGGCCGCGCUCCCGGCGUUCAUCGCGUUCAUUAAUUGCGUUAAUUGCGCUCAUUAAUUGCGU